This 465-nucleotide ribosomal RNA is filed under the name Vreelandella stevensii. RNAcentral describes it as "partial 16S ribosomal RNA". It matches the Rfam family "Bacterial small subunit ribosomal RNA", at positions 338 to 795 of the family's 1533-position model. Lineage: Bacteria; Pseudomonadati; Pseudomonadota; Gammaproteobacteria; Oceanospirillales; Halomonadaceae. The record is from RNAcentral.
CCUACGGGAGGCUGCAGUGGGGAAUAUUGGACAAUGGGCGAAAGCCUGAUCCAGCCAUGCCGCGUGUGUGAAGAAGGCCUUCGGGUUGUAAAGCACUUUCAGUGGGGAAGAAAGCCUUGGGGCUAAUACCCUCGAGGAAGGACAUCACCCACAGAAGAAGCACCGGCUAACUCCGUGCCAGCAGCCGCGGUAAUACGGAGGGUGCGAGCGUGAAUCGGAAUUACUGGGCGUAAAGCGCGCGUAGGCGGUCUGAUAAGCCGGUUGUGAAAGCCCCGGGCUCAACCUUGGAACGGCAUCCGGAACUGUCAGGCUAGAGUGCAGGAGAGGAAGGUAGAAUUCCCGGUGUAGCGGUGAAAUGCGUAGAGAUCGGGAGGAAUACCAGUGGCGAAGGCGGCCUUCUGGACUGACACUGACGCUGAGGUGCGAAAGCGUGGGUAGCAAACAGGAUUAGAUACCCUAGUAGUC